Molecule: transfer RNA, 90 nt
Filed under: Rhizobium ruizarguesonis
Lineage: Bacteria; Pseudomonadati; Pseudomonadota; Alphaproteobacteria; Hyphomicrobiales; Rhizobiaceae
Description: tRNA-Ser
Rfam family: tRNA
About the family: Transfer RNA (tRNA) molecules are approximately 80 nucleotides in length.
Source: RNAcentral
GAAGAGGAGACAGAGUGGUUGAAUGUACCGCACUCGAAAUGCGGCAUACCUGCAAAGGUAUCGUGGGUUCAAAUCCCACCCUCUCCGCCA